CUUCGGGUCAAAGAGGGGGACCUUCGGGCCUCUCGCGUCAGGAUAUGCCUAGGUGGGAUUAGCUAGUUGGUGAGGUAAUGGCUCACCAAGGCGACGAUCCCUAGCUGGUCUGAGAGGAUGAUCAGCCACACUGGAACUGAGACACGGUCCAGACUCCUACGGGAGGCAGCAGUGGGGAAUAUUGCACAAUGGGCGCAAGCCUGAUGCAGCCAUGCCGCGUGUGUGAAGAAGGCCUUCGGGUUGUAAAGCACUUUCAGUCGUGAGGAAGGUAGUGUAGUUAAUAGCUGCAUUAUUUGACGUUAGCGACAGAAGAAGCACCGGCUAACUCCGUGCCAGCAGCCGCGGUAAUACGGAGGGUGCGAGCGUUAAUCGGAAUUACUGGGCGUAAAGCGCAUGCAGGUGGUUUGUUAAGUCAGAUGUGAAAGCCCGGGGCUCAACCUCGGAAUAGCAUUUGAAACUGGCAGACUAGAGUACUGUAGAGGGGGGUAGAAUUUCAGGUGUAGCGGUGAAAUGCGUAGAGAUCUGAAGGAAUACCGGUGGCGAAGGCGGCCCCCUGGACAGAUACUGACACUCAGAUGCGAAAGCGUGGGGAGCAAACAGGAUUAGAUACCCUGGUAGUCCACGCCGUAAACGAUGUCUACUUGGAGGUUGUGGCCUUGAGCCGUGGCUUUCGGAGCUAACGCGUUAAGUAGACCGCCUGGGGAGUACGGUCGCAAGAUUAAAACUCAAAUGAAUUGACGGGGGCCCGCACAAGCGGUGGAGCAUGUGGUUUAAUUCGAUGCAACGCGAAGAACCUUACCUACUCUUGACAUCCAGAGAACUUUCCAGAGAUGGAUUGGUGCCUUCGGGAACUCUGAGACAGGUGCUGCAUGGCUGUCGUCAGCUCGUGUUGUGAAAUGUUGGGUUAAGUCCCGCAACGAGCGC
Molecule: ribosomal RNA, 924 nt
Filed under: Vibrio harveyi NBRC 15634 = ATCC 14126 = KCTC 12724
Lineage: Bacteria; Pseudomonadati; Pseudomonadota; Gammaproteobacteria; Vibrionales; Vibrionaceae
Description: bacterial SSU rRNA
Rfam family: Bacterial small subunit ribosomal RNA
Source: RNAcentral